This is a non-coding RNA of Gasterosteus aculeatus aculeatus (three-spined stickleback), 924 nucleotides long. NCBI's taxonomy places the organism in Eukaryota, Metazoa, Chordata, Actinopteri, Perciformes, Gasterosteidae. The record is from RefSeq and is a predicted model, not a curated record.
GCGUUUCUCCGGACAUUCUCGUCAGUCUACCCGGGAAAGAGCACCGAAGCGACGGUGCACCUUCGUCGGACCUCGCGCUGUGAGGAAGUCACUAAGCAGGAUUGCUGUGUUGCAUUCAAGGUGGCAGAGUCGUUUGCAGGAAAGCAUCUGAAAUGGGAUUCUUGGAGAACAACAGAUGCAAUUGUUGCCGAUGUCACUUCUGAUGCUGACUCAAGCCUCUAUUGAGAAGAUUGUACUCAACGUCAUGGAAAAGCAGCAGCAACAUCAACAGGAACAACAACAACAACAACCGGGGCAAAAGAAGGGACACACAAAAGACAAAGUUCUUUCAGCUAGAACUGGAUGCCACACAGAAAAGGGUGACAGAGAAAGGACAGCAGAAGAGGAAGAUAACUGAUUGCCAGUCCACAGGUCGCAAGUGUUGGUUCUGUAAGAUGGAACUGAAGCAGGGCCCAAACAGUCGUCACAGUCACACUGGGUUCCCUGGAGUAACAGGGAAGUACAUUUUCUUUCAAAACCUUUUCACUAUACAAAGACCAGGGCAUGGACGAGGAAAUGAUGUGGAGAGAGUUCCAGGGGUCUGCUUUCUUUGAGAAAGAAAAACAGAGAUGGGAGGCUGAAAGGAGGAAAGAAGAGAAAUAAUAGGGGGAGUUCCAUCUAGCAUUUUAAGUCCAAUUAUUUGGAAUAUUCAUGUUGUAAUUAGUUUAUAUAUUGGUUUCUUGCAUUUGUGACUUUGUACAUUUCAAAUAUUAUCUUUUUAUUUUUUUCUUUAUAUUUGGUUUUAUGGUUUGAUAUUCAUUAGUUGAAUUAUUUAGAUGUCUUUAUUUCUGUAACAUUGUUGUUUGUAUAGGACUAUACAAAUCUGUUGAUCUAUCUGUGUGCAACAUUUACUGUCUAAGUUAAUAGAUACAUUACUAAUGUCUA